CUCCCGCCGCCCAUGAUGUGCCUGGAAAGCGACGGCUCCUCCGGCAGCAGCCCGGGCUGCGGCGGGCGGCUCCGAGCCGGCGACGAGGAGGAGGAGGAAGACGGCGAGCGGGGCUGCUGCGGCCGCGGCGCCGAGGGCGAGGUGCAGACCCUGUCGGGCCGCAUGAACCCGCCGGCGGUCGCCAAGAUCCCCGAGCGCCCGGCCGCCCGCCACAAGGCGCCGAGCCUGGGCCGGGCCCGCGUGGCGGCCGCGGGCAUCCUCAGCGUGGGCAACGUGCUCAACUACCUGGACCGGUACACGGUGGCAGGUGUGUUACUAGACAUCCAGCAGCACUUUGGAGUCAAAGACAGUGGGGCUGGCUUGUUACAGACAGUUUUCAUCUGCAGUUUCAUGGUUGCAGCACCUAUCUUUGGUUACCUUGGCGAUCGUUUCAACAGGAAGAUCAUUCUCAGCUGUGGGAUCUUCUUUUGGUCAGCGGUCACUUUUUCAAGCUCCUUCAUCACUGAACAGUAUUUCUGGCUUCUCGUGCUCUCACGAGGUUUGGUGGGCAUCGGGGAAGCAAGUUACUCCACUAUUGCUCCAACCAUCAUAGGAGACCUUUUCACCAAAAACACAAGGACCCUUAUGCUGUCUGUUUUCUACUUUGCAAUUCCUCUUGGCAGUGGCUUGGGAUACAUCACUGGGUCAAGCGUGAAACAGGUUGCUGGAGACUGGCAUUGGGCAUUGCGGGUAUCACCACUCCUGGGUAUGAUAACAGGGACGCUCAUCUUGAUAUUUGUACCUGCUGCUAAAAGAGGAAAUGUUGAACAAUUCGGGGGACAGCUGAAAGCUCGGAGCUCGUGGCUAAGAGACAUGAAGGCACUGAUUAGAAACCGCAGCUACGUUUUCUCAUCACUGGCCACCUCAGCUGUCUCGUUUGCUACAGGGGCACUCGGCAUGUGGAUCCCUCUCUACCUUCACAGAGCACAGGUUGUGCAGAAAACAGCGGAGACCUGCAGCUCUCAGCCCUGUGGCACCAAAGAUAGCUUGAUCUUCGGAGCAAUCACAUGUUUCACUGGUUUCCUGGGUGUAAUCACAGGGGCCGGGGCAACCAAAUGGUGCCGAUUAAAAACCCAGCGCGCUGAUCCUCUUGUCUGUGCUGUCGGCAUGCUGGGAUCCGCCAUCUUCAUCUGUCUGAUCUUCGUUGCUGCCAAAAGCAGCAUUGUGGGAGCCUAUAUUUGCAUUUUUAUUGGAGAAACUCUUCUGUUUUCAAACUGGGCUAUCACAGCAGACAUACUAAUGUAUGUGGUCAUCCCAACACGCCGUGCAACCGCAGUGGCCUUGCAGAGUUUCACCUCGCACCUCCUGGGAGAUGCUGGCAGUCCUUAUCUGAUUGGAUUUAUCUCAGACCUGAUACGACAAAGCACAAAGGAGUCCCCGCUCUGGGAGUUCCUCAGCUUGGGGUAUGCACUCAUGCUCUGCCCGUUUGUCGUUGUCCUAGGAGGGAUGUUUUUCCUGGCCACAGCCCUCUUCUUCCUAAGUGAUCGAGCCAAAGCUGAACAACAGGUGAAUCAACUUGUGUUGCCACCGGCCUCCGUGAAAGUCUGAGACGGUGAGUGACCCAAAGCAGCAGCUGCUGUCCCUCCCUGGGGUGGCACUGGGGAAGCAGAUGUGGUGCUAGGACAGGAGGUUCUCAUUUCUGCCAGUCCACUUGCUGGAAUACCUUCCUUCACUGCAAGGCCAUAUGCUCUUCCCCAUGCCAGUGUUUACCACCAAAGGCAGAAACUUGAGGCUCCCAUGUCUCAGUGCUCUACAGCGAGGGUACUGGCAUCGCUGUGGGAUGGAUGGACUGGACUGGACACUGUUCUUCAGGGUGCAGUUGCCAGUGAAGGAAAUCACAUGUGGACUCCUGCUCCCACCAUCACACUGAUCUCAAGCUGGAAGCCCUCCCGUACUGGAAAUGGGUGGACCCUCCAGCUCCACGCCACCCUGGAAGGGUUAUCCAGCGCCAACCCAAUCAUGCCUGCGGGCCCAGGUGCCAGGAGAUGAGUGGGGCAGCCUGGAACACAGUGCUUCUUGAGCAUGAGGACGUUCACAGGUUCCGCUGAGCAUCGAGAACAACUGUCCGCUGGACCCACAAUGUGCUACCCAAGUGAGUGACUGUAGAUUGUGUAUAUGAUUUUAGUUGUAGCCAAUGAAGUACGCAUUAUUUAUAGGGCACCUUCCGUCCUAUUGAAUGCUGCUGUUCUGCCAGCACUCCCGCACCCAGAGACUGCUCUAGUUGGGGACCUUUUCUGUACAUCACGUUUUCUUUAACACUGAAGGCUCAAGUCAGAUUUUUCUUUUUUUUUAAUUUAAAUAUGUCAUAAGAUGCUUUAUCUCUACUGAAGAUAUUAGAUAUCAGAUAUCUCUCUCUCUCUCUCUCUCUAUAUAUAUAUAUAUUUAGAUAAACAAUUUUUAUUUAAAUAUUGGAAAUCUGGAGCUGCCUGUGCAACCAUACCAGACAUAAAUACAUCCACAAUCUCCUCAUCUCAGUGCCCUGCUAUUGGGCACUACAGGAAGGCUUACAGUGGAUGACAACCUGUCACUUGAGGCUGAGCAAGGGGACAGAGGAGAGAGUUUCACUGCACUGGGUAUGCUGGUGGUUGUUACAGAAAGACCCAGAAGAAACUUAGACAGAAAUACCUAGGGCCUCCAGCGUUUGCUCAGUAUACUAAAUUCAGUCUUGCCUGGGAGGUUCACAGGUUUUUAAAAUACCAAAAUCUGUAAGGCUUUACCUAGAGCCUGGUAUUGUAAUACUGCGGUGCCGGUGAUGACAUGCUUUGUUUACGUGCAUAUCAUGUUACCCGUAUCGUACGUGCUAAUUCUCCCUCCAUCAGUAUCUUCCGAGCAGGCGGCCGAUACUCUGCAGUAACUGUUCCCUUGGGAACAACGGUUAGCUUUUAAUGCACAUACGUUGGGGUGUCAGUUUUAGUCACUUUUAUCUUAAUGAAGAUGCACUUGAGAUUGUUAAUAGGUGAAGCCAGUGUCUGAACUCCUUUAGAUUCUCAGAUGCUGAGUACAGUAUAUCUGUAAAGCAGUCAGUGCCAUUUCACAGCAGACUCUUGUUUCCUGCACUUGAGCUCCUCAAGCCAAAUUUACACUAUGUCAGCUUGAAGCUGUGACAGUUUGGGGAAGGAAGGAGAGCUUGGGUCCUGGAGAAAGAGCCACGUUCCAGAAACAGCGCACUGGGUCAGUGCUCCCCUACCCUCUUAUUUCUGUUUCAGAGAUGGCUCCGGUAGCUUAGAUGCUUCCCUCCAGUUCAGCACACACCUCUAAUAGGUGCAUGCACCUCACUCUUGUGCUCGUGUUUAACAACGUGGCCGUUGCUGGGGGGAAGUAGGACUAAUUCAGCAAAGGAAAUGCCAAAGCAAGACUGGAUAGGAUGCAAGUAAGCCUGGAAGAUAGCUCUCCUGAAUGUGGCAUGAAUUUGUUCACAGAGACAUGGGAAGGUACUGUUAGUAAAUCUCCCACUCAUUUCCAGUGAUGUGCAGUGAUCUACACUGCAGGAUUGUAGUAGAGAUGGUGAGUGAUUCCAGUUACCAGCAGACUGGUCAACAUUCACUGCAACAGCCAGUCUCUGCCGAGGUAGAUGUGUUUUAAUAGUGGUUCCUAUAAAACAUAAACAUUUCCUCCUUAUGAAACUCCAUAAGACUCUUCUGCAAAGGCUGUUGUCACCUAAAAUCCCUUAACAAUAGCUUUAAGGUUUCGCUAAACAAUUAGAGCUAGAAAUUUUUCUCAAGCUCCUGGAUUAUCCUCUGGAGGACAGCAAAUGCCUGCUAGAAAUAAAGCAAAGUAAAUCCAAAACAAUGCUUCAUUUCCCACCUCGUGCCACUAUUUACAUUGGUGGGAAAGUGCCAACUCUGUAGUCCGACAGCCAAAUGCCUGGCUUUAAAUGCACAUGAAUUUCUGAUUCCUAUUAAGAAGUUCCGUGUUAGCCUGUAUAAAAAGAAACAAAAAGCAACCCAGCGAUUAGUCACUUCAUCUCAGAGACCAAAGGACAGUUAGCUACAUUUCUAAGUUGCUUUUCUGAUAAAUGCUGCAGCUGAAAGGCAGCCUAUCACCAACAAAACAGCAUUUCUGCUAAAGCUCAGAGGUUAGGAAUUGUCCUAAAACUUAGUUCUCAGCAGUGAACAAUGAAACGGAAACUUGUGUUUUUGGAAUUUCACUAGCUCUCCUUGUUUAUGACAAGCUUCGAUCCUUGUUAGAGCAGCACAGCCCUGUUGCAGGAGGCUAGCUUGAUCUUCUGUGAAUACGGAGGAAAUUGCUGCUCCCACGUGUUCCAGGCUGAGAGAGGGAAGAUAAAGCAACAGCUACGAGCGCUCCAAGGGCAGUGAACAGGAGAGCGGAAAGAAAACUCUGCCUUUCCACUUCCUGCACACGCUGCUGCCUCUCUAUGGCUUGAUGACCCAUAUUCAAUCAGUUAGAAAUUGAAAAAAUGGUUUCUUGGUGAGUGUUUCUUAUUUUAGCUGUAUUCCAAGCUGGAAGAACUGUUCAGUUAGAGCUUCUAUAAAAUUUUCUGUCUAUUAGAGGGACACCAGCUCACUUGGAUCAAAGUCCUUGGGAAUAAGGCAUUAAUAGGUACAAGUUUGGUCAUGAAACCUACAUAUUACUGAACAGAAAGUGGGCAGAUGUUGCCAUAUAAGCUCUCUUCCUUGGGUUGCAAUAUACUAUUUCCUUUCCUAGCCUCACCUGCACCAGUAUGUGACUCUCAGAAAGUCACUACUUGCACCUCAGUUUCUGUAUGUACAAAACUGAGAUCCUCACCGCUGAGAUGCUGUAUAAACAAGCAGUGUUGUGCGUCUGUACUCUAGUAGAGGCUGGAAGCUCUCCACUAUUAAAAGAUGAGUUAGCAUAUUGCAUUCUACUGUGCAGAGCUCUGGACUUAGCAUGCAGUAUUGUGCUCCUUUCCCUUAUGACUCCACAUGUAAUAAUUUUAUGUAGGUAUAGAUGUAAUCGGGCUUGGAAGCUUUUAGGGCAGUUUUGGUUGAACAGUACAGGAGCAAUGAAAAGAUCUUUAGUAUAUGUAUAGGAAGCAUUUCUGGAAUGAGAGUAAAAUCUGCAAAUAUGACCCAUUUACUGAGUUUAAAUACUGCUUAUAAUUUUAAUGGGGAUUGUUAUGCAGCUUUGACAUAUUUGUUUUGUUUUUUUUUUUGUUGUUGAUGUUAUUUUUUUUAUAAAGAAAGGCUGUUAAUGGGAAAAGAUAAAUUAGCUCUUGAUCAAGAAUCCACAUAUUUUAGCAUCCAUAUUAACAAGAGGAGUAAGGUUUGAGCUCAUCACUUAAAUAUACAGUUGUUCAGGUCAAAGGCUAUGUUUGUGGUUCUGAACUUCAACAUAAAAUUUAAUAGUACCAAUAAGGACAGAAAUACCUGUAAAGCCACUGAUCCCUUGUACAUUAAUGACUGCGCAUGAAUGUCUGAAAAUCAGUGUACAUAAAAAGGAGCCCUUGACUUCACUUGAAAAUGGGAAAAUGCCACCCAAAGGGAGAAGGCAGUACGCCUGCCCUCCCCUCCCCGCGCUCCGCAGUACCUGCUGCCUCGCUGCGCUCUUCAGGGCUGCAGCUGCUCCCUCCCCGGUGCUCUGCUCCUUCCCCACCUCUGCCUUCACGCUGAUCGUCUCCGAUGCCUUGCCGCAGGGUGCGGGCUCCUUCCACCAGCUCAGCGCUCCUCGGCUCCUCCAGCAUGACGUGCAGCCUCCUGCGUUCACCCAGGCCUGUGCCCGGGCGUGCAGGGGUAGGGCGGCCGGAGCGCCCUGGGGAGGGCGCAGAAAGCCCUUCAGUCGAUCACAAGGGCUUUCUUCUACUCCAUUUCCUAAAGGGUUUGUUUUUUUUUUGUUUGUUUGUUUUUUGUUUUUUUUAAGCAGUCAUUAACUCCCUCCACAGCUAAUGCUGCAUUUGCACCAAUGCACCCGCUAGAGAAGCGAUUAGGCUGCUCGCACACAGCAGGAGGAGUAGAGGUAAUGGGAACUGCAAAGAGAGGCGAGAGAAUUGGCCCCAAAGCAGCAAGCUGCCAGCCUCAGUGACUGUAAUGCCUCCGGCUGACAGAGCGAGAGUCCAGGUGACCCCCAACAGCCUCUAUAGCCUUUUAUAUACUAGCUAAGAACGAACCUCAGGGUGACAAAACCCUAUUAAGUGAACAGAUGUACUCUGGAAAGCAGAGUUCCUCUCUGCACCCUCUGUCCUAACUGUGUCGUUUCUUCUCUGUUUGCUUUAUUGUUUGGUAAACCAGCACUUACAAUCACUUUUACUAUGUGAUGUAUGGGAGUAUAUAGUGUAUUUUCUUGUCAUACAAGCGAGGAGUAUAAAAUAGUUUUCUGAUUUUUUUCAGAAGCAAAUGACUAUUUUAUUUUUUAAGAGCAACUGAUUGUGAAUCUCAGAGUAUAAGAAAAAGAGAAAU
This is an RNA transcript of Rhea pennata, 6413 nucleotides long. It is a transcript of the gene named sphingosine-1-phosphate transporter SPNS2-like, with no coding region annotated. The transcript has 13 exons. The record is from RefSeq and is a predicted model, not a curated record. Lineage: Eukaryota; Metazoa; Chordata; Aves; Rheiformes; Rheidae.